This 505-nucleotide unclassified non-coding RNA is filed under the name uncultured Glomus. RNAcentral describes it as "SSU rRNA". It matches the Rfam family "Eukaryotic small subunit ribosomal RNA", at positions 569 to 1078 of the family's 1831-position model. The record is from RNAcentral. Lineage: Eukaryota; Fungi; Glomeromycota; Glomeromycetes; Glomerales; Glomeraceae.
AGCAGCCGCGGUAAUUCCAGCUCCAAUAGCGUAUAUUAAAGUUGUUGCAGUUAAAAGCUCGUAGUUGAAUUUCGGGAUCAAAGAAUCGGUCAUGCCUUGGUAUGUACUGGUUUUAUUGGUUCUCACCUUCUAAAGAACCAUGAUGUCAUUCAUUUGAUGUUAUGGGGAAUUAGGACUGUUACCUUGAAAAAUUAGAGUGUUUAAAGCAAGCUUACGCUUGAAUACAUUAGCAUGGAAUAAUGAAAUAGGACAUCAGAUUCUAUUUUGUUGGUUUCUAGGAUCGAUGUAAUGAUUAAUAGGGAUAGUUGGGGGCAUUAGUAUUCAAUUGUCAGAGGUGAGAUUCUUGGAUUUAUUGAAGACUAACUACUGCGAAAGCAUUUGCCAAGGAUGUUUUCAUUAAUCAAGAACGAAAGUUAGGGGAUCGAAGACGAUCAGAUACCGUCGUAGUCUUAACCAUAAACUAUGCCGACUAGGGAUCGGAUGAUGUUAAUUUUUAAUGUACUCU